UUAAGCGACUAAGCGUACACGGUGGAUGCCCUGGCAGUCAGAGGCGAUGAAGGACGUGCUAAUCUGCGAAAAGCGUCGGUAAGGUGAUAUGAACCGUUAUAACCGGCGAUGUCCGAAUGGGGAAACCCAGUGUGAUUCGUCACACUAUCGUUAACUGAAUACAUAGGUUAACGAGGCGAACCGGGGGAACUGAAACAUCUAAGUACCCCGAGGAAAAGAAAUCAACCGAGAUUCCCCCAGUAGCGGCGAGCGAACGGGGAGCAGCCCAGAGUCUGAAUCAGCUUGUGUGUUAGUGGAACGGUCUGGAAAGUCCGACGGUACAGGGUGAUAGUCCCGUACACCAAAAUGCACAGGUUGUGAACUCGAAGAGUAGGGCGGGACACGUGGUAUCCUGUCUGAAUAUGGGGGGACCAUCCUCCAAGGCUAAAUACUCCUGACUGACCGAUAGUGAACCAGUACCGUGAGGGAAAGGCGAAAAGAACCCCGGCGAGGGGAGUGAAAAAGAACCUGAAACCGUGUACGUACAAGCAGUGGGAGCACCUUCGGGUGUGACUGCGUACCUUUUGUAUAAUGGGUCAGCGACUUAUAUUCUGUAGCAAGGUUAACCGUAUAGGGGAGCCGCAGGGAAACCGAGUCUUAACUGGGCGUUAAGUUGCAGGGUAUAGACCCGAAACCCGGUGAUCUAGCCAUGGGCAGGUUGAAGGUUGGGUAACACUAACUGGAGGACCGAACCGACUAAUGUUGAAAAAUUAGCGGAUGACUUGUGGCUGGGGGUGAAAGGCCAAUCAAACCGGGAGAUAGCUGGUUCUCCCCGAAAGCUAUUUAGGUAGCGCCUCGUGAACUCAUCUUCGGGGGUAGAGCACUGUUUCGGCUAGGGGGUCAUCCCGACUUACCAACCCGAUGCAAACUACGAAUACCGAAGAAUGUUAUCACGGGAGACACACGGCGGGUGCUAACGUCCGUCGUGAAGAGGGAAACAACCCAGACCGCCAGCUAAGGUCCCAAAGUCAUGGUUAAGUGGGAAACGAUGUGGGAAGGCACAGACAGCCAGGAUGUUGGCUUAGAAGCAGCCAUCAUUUAAAGAAAGCGUAAUAGCUCACUGGUCGAGUCGGCCUGCGCGGAAGAUGUAACGGGGCUAAACCAUGCACCGAAGCUGCGGCAGCGACACUAUGUGUUGUUGGGUAGGGGAGCGUUCUGUAAGCCUGCGAAGGUGUGCUGUGAGGCAUGCUGGAGGUAUCAGAAGUGCGAAUGCUGACAUAAGUAACGAUAAAGCGGGUGAAAAGCCCGCUCGCCGGAAGACCAAGGGUUCCUGUCCAACGUUAAUCGGGGCAGGGUGAGUCGACCCCUAAGGCGAGGCCGAAAGGCGUAGUCGAUGGGAAACAGGUUAAUAUUCCUGUACUUGGUGUUACUGCGAAGGGGGGACGGAGAAGGCUAUGUUAGCCGGGCGACGGUUGUCCCGGUUUAAGCAUGUAGGCUGGUUGUCCAGGCAAAUCCGGAUAAUCAAGGCUGAGGUGUGAUGACGAGGCACUACGGUGCUGAAGUAACAAAUGCCCUGCUUCCAGGAAAAGCCUCUAAGCAUCAGGUAACAUCAAAUCGUACCCCAAACCGACACAGGUGGUCAGGUAGAGAAUACCAAGGCGCUUGAGAGAACUCGGGUGAAGGAACUAGGCAAAAUGGUGCCGUAACUUCGGGAGAAGGCACGCUGGUGUGUAGGUGAAGUCCCUGCGGAUGGAGCUGAGACCAGUCGAAGAUACCAGCUGGCUGCAACUGUUUAUUAAAAACACAGCACUGUGCAAACACGAAAGUGGACGUAUACGGUGUGACGCCUGCCCGGUGCCGGAAGGUUAAUUGAUGGGGUUAUCCGUAAGGAGAAGCUCUUGAUCGAAGCCCCGGUAAACGGCGGCCGUAACUAUAACGGUCCUAAGGUAGCGAAAUUCCUUGUCGGGUAAGUUCCGACCUGCACGAAUGGCGUAAUGAUGGCCAGGCUGUCUCCACCCGAGACUCAGUGAAAUUGAACUCGCUGUGAAGAUGCAGUGUACCCGCGGCAAGACGGAAAGACCCCGUGAACCUUUACUAUAGCUUGACACUGAACAUUGAGCCUUGAUGUGUAGGAUAGGUGGGAGGCUUUGAAGCGUGGACGCCAGUCUGCGUGGAGCCAACCUUGAAAUACCACCCUUUAAUGUUUGAUGUUCUAACGUUGGCCCCUGACCGGGGUUGCGGACAGUGUCUGGUGGGUAGUUUGACUGGGGCGGUCUCCUCCCAAAGCGUAACGGAGGAGCACGAAGGUUAGCUAAUCCUGGUCGGACAUCAGGAGGUUAGUGCAAUGGCAUAAGCUAGCUUGACUGCGAGCGUGACGGCGCGAGCAGGUGCGAAAGCAGGUCAUAGUGAUCCGGUGGUUCUGAAUGGAAGGGCCAUCGCUCAACGGAUAAAAGGUACUCCGGGGAUAACAGGCUGAUACCGCCCAAGAGUUCAUAUCGACGGCGGUGUUUGGCACCUCGAUGUCGGCUCAUCACAUCCUGGGGCUGAAGUAGGUCCCAAGGGUAUGGCUGUUCGCCAUUUAAAGUGGUACGCGAGCUGGGUUUAGAACGUCGUGAGACAGUUCGGUCCCUAUCUGCCGUGGGCGCUGGAGAAUUGAGGGGGGCUGCUCCUAGUACGAGAGGACCGGAGUGGACGCAUCACUGGUGUUCGGGUUGUCAUGCCAAUGGCACUGCCCGGUAGCUAAAUGCGGAAGAGAUAAGUGCUGAAAGCAUCUAAGCACGAAACUUGCCCCGAGAUGAGUUCUCCCUGAGACUUUAAGUCUCCUGAAGGAACGUUGAAGACGACGACGUUGAUAGGCCGGGUGUGUAAGCGCAGCGAUGCGUUGAGCUAACCGGUACUAAUGAACCGUGAGGCUUAACCUU
Molecule: ribosomal RNA, 2900 nt
Filed under: Klebsiella pneumoniae
Lineage: Bacteria; Pseudomonadati; Pseudomonadota; Gammaproteobacteria; Enterobacterales; Enterobacteriaceae
Also listed under: 1 other name
Description: bacterial LSU rRNA
Rfam family: Bacterial large subunit ribosomal RNA
Source: RNAcentral